RNAcentral lists this unclassified non-coding RNA (260 nucleotides) under uncultured fungus. RNAcentral describes it as "partial contains 5.8S ribosomal RNA, internal transcribed spacer 2, and large subunit ribosomal RNA". Lineage: Eukaryota; Fungi. The record is from RNAcentral.
AACGCAUAUUGCGCCCUUUGGAAUUCCAAGGGGCAUGCCUGUUCGAGCGUCAUGGCAAUCUUCAAGCUCUGCUUGGUGUUGGGCGUUUGUCCCGCUCUUGCGCGGACUUGCCCUAAAGGCAUUGGCAGGGGAUCUACGGUGGCCGCCGAUAGAGAGCGCAGGCAGUGUGUGCGCUCCCCGCGGUUCCGCCGUGUUCCUCGUCCAUAAAGCUCUUUUAUUCGAAUGACCUCGGAUCAGGUAGGGAUACCCGCUGAACUUAA